Sarcophilus harrisii (Tasmanian devil) is the source of this 4057-nucleotide long non-coding RNA. RefSeq lists it as uncharacterized. NCBI's taxonomy places the organism in Eukaryota, Metazoa, Chordata, Mammalia, Dasyuromorphia, Dasyuridae. The record is from RefSeq and is a predicted model, not a curated record. The transcript has 4 exons.
CCCAGAGCAACUUGGAGCCUGGCCUCUUGUCCCGAGGCCGGCCAUCCCCAGGAGAGGGUCCUCGCCCGCUGUCGGGCCAGGCACACGGAAAGAGAAGAGCAUUUCCCGGGCUUAGAGAAGCGAGCCGGUGCCGAGAAAACGGGGACGCAGGCAGCGCGCUGACUUCCAGUCCCCCGGACGGCGUCACUGCGGCGCUUGGAGAGCAAGUGGUAAAGGGCACGUCUCUCCGCUUAACUUCCCGCCGAGGGCCCGGGCUGCUAAAUGAGGGAUGUAAAAAGUGAGCCAGGUCCCUGCCCCAAUAGCUGUGCAGUCUCCCCGGUAGGAAGCAAGGCUUUCAUCUGUUUAACAUUCAAGACAUUUACAGGAAGUAAAUGUGUGAGAGCCACUGGGCUAGGUUGGGACGGGACCCUGCUCUCCGCCCGAUUAGGGAGACAAGGGAUGCAUGAAACACUUCUGAGAGCCGGGGCUCAGAAGUUACAAAGUAGGAAACGGCCCCUUGGACGCAGAAGUCGGGAGAGGAGAGGAAACCACCACAAAGAGCCAUGAUGCAAUGCUGGAUGCCGCGAGAGAGAGAGAGAGAGAGACCACUUUCUGAAAGAAUUCGGGAAAAGAGCUCGCUGCUUUUGUAAAGGAGAGGCCAUUUGGCUGGGACUCGAAAGAUGGGAAGCAUUUGAAUGGGGGGAAAGGGGAGAAAGGCAUAUGCAUAGGGAAAGAACUGCUAGCAUGGUUCUCUGAGAAGGAAAAGGAGCCAAUCCAGUGGAGAAGUGGAGAGGAAAGAAAACAUGAUUGAAACAAAAAGAUUUUUUUUAAAAUAUGUGAACAAGUGCCAAAGGAGUGAAAUAAACUCUUACAUGCUAUAGGAAUUCAGGGGAGGGGUCAAUCAUGGGGAGCUAUUAUAAUCCAAGAAAGCUUUAUGAAGAAAGGCUUCAUGACCUGGACUUGAAGACUGGGCCUGCUUUAAAUGGACAUCAAAGCUUUUUUUUUGUUUUGGGGUGGGUUUUAAAUUGCUUUUUGUUUUCAUAACACAUGCGGGGAUAAUUUUUCACCAUUGACCUUCGCGAAACUUUGUGUUCCAAUCUUCCCCCUUACUCCCCCCCCCAAUCCCUUCCCCUACAUAGGCAUCAAGUAUUUCUGGAAAUAGGCCCCCCAGGCUUCCUUGCAAGUUGGCCCCAAAUCGAACAGAUUGUGCAUGCUGGAAGGACUAGCUGGGCCUCUGCUGCCUAUCCCCUUUUAUGUAUGAUAUGGGAAUGUCUAUAGUGGGAGAGUUGGGGGGGGGGGAGGAGUUAUUCCAUUCUGACUCACUUCUAGAAUGAGACCAGCUAACAUCAUCCCCUUCAGAGGUCUAGGGGUUUCCCAAAGGGUUUGAAGAUAGUUCUGUCAUUAACUCAAACUUCCACCAGUUGUGCUGGCAAUACCAUUAGGUAUCGGUGAUCAACAAGCUCCCCAGUUCCAUUUAACCACUUAAUUAGGGAUAUCUCCUUCGAUGGUACUAUGGCAAAGAUACAAAUUCCCCCUUCCCUUGAAGGAUGGGGGAAUAGUCUUUAUCCCGCCUCCAUUGCUACAUAGCAUUCGUCCCCCUAAAUUUACAUCAGAUGAGUCUUCCUCUCAGAUACCCCUAAGCUGAAUCAGGGCAUCAGGGCUGAACUGGCUGCAAAAACCAACAAAGUCAGAGCCUUUAGGAAAACAGAGGUCAAGAGCCAAGACCCAUUUCAAAGGAUCACAAAAGGGCCCAAGACUUCUCCCCUUGCUAUAUGGUUUCUCACUAUUAGCAAAAGAUCCCAAGACUUCUACCAGAGAACAAAUGGCCAACCUCCUGCUUACUGGUCCUCCUAGGAGGCUCCUACUGUUCAUCAAAGAGCCUCCUGUUCACCAAGAGACGGGCAGAUUGAAACCAGUUACAGAGUGUCUCUGGACAGGCUCCGUCCCUCCCAGACAUCUCUCUUACUGGAAGCUCCCUAGCUGCCUCCAGGUGGAGGGGCCAUCCUCAGGUGCUUUCCACAUGUGCUAAUCCUCCUACAAGCAUGUAGGCAUUUAUCUAUGAACAUCACUAAACAAUACGAGAGGGCAUUGCUAAAUGGUUAAUGAAAUAUGUAAUCGGUGCUACGGAAAUUCAGAGGAGAGACAAGUCCAGGUGGGCCUCAGGGUUAGGAGUCAGGAAGACCUUAGAGAGGAAAUAGGCUUGAAGCCAGUCCUGGAAGGAAUAUGCUCAGUGCUCAAAACAGAGCAGUUGGCGUCCAAGACCAGAGCAGAAUCACUUUCUAACAGGAGGAUUUUGUGCAACUUGCAGCUGAGCCUCAGUUGAAGGGGCAGCGAUACUGCCGGGACCCUGAGUUGAGAAUUGAACAAAGGACAGCCACCAUACGCAAGGCUUCAGUUAAAGUCAACCAGGAACAUCAAAGAAGAGGAACAAAAGAUGUCAUUAAAGAAACACAGGCUAGGAGGGGAAAAAAUGGUGUCAUCAAAAGCAAGAUGACAGCUCCUGGUCCCUAACAAAUGAAAGGAACACAGACAAUGGGAGCGGAGAAAAAAGCAUCCUGGUCUCUUCAGAGUAACCUGGAAGCAGGAGGUACAACGCGCAGCUUGGCCCUGGAAGGGUGAAGCUAGAAAGUGCCUUCUACACUGUACAUGGCGAUGUAGAACUGUGGGAAAAGGCCGGUGAGAUCAUAGAUGAUGUCUUCUCUCGCAAGUGCAUUGGAUUUAAGAGAGGCCCCCUUCUCUCCAUCAGAGCCUAGGGCAGGCUGGCUGGUCAUGGCCCAGAAUGUUGUGGGGGCCCUUGGAGGCUUCUACGCCUGACCGAGCUCUAAGAACCCCACACUGCUUUAUUUGAGACAAAUUCUCAUCUCCCCAUUCCACCAGGGAAAGGCUUUGCAUGCUGGAGGUGGAGGUCCCCCACCCCCCCCAGUUCAUCAAAGGUCUGAGACCUGUCAGUCACCCUCUGCCCCGUUUAGCCUAUCUAUGUGUGUGUGUGUGUGUGUGUGUGUGUGUGUGUGUGACUGACACCUCUAGGGCUCAUGAGGGCCUUUCAUUCAUCUGUGAUGUCCACCUGACCUAUUCUACCCUCCUUCAUGGCUCCAAAAAUCUGCAGCAUGCAAUGGCCGGCUUCAAUAUCCUCAUCUGCAAAAUGGGAACAAGAACAGCACCUCCCUCCCUGCAUUACUGCGAAGACCAAAUGAAACAUAUGUCAAACACCUAAAUGUUACAGCAUGUGAGCACUGGCUGCCUUGUGGUUUGGACACCUUUUGACCAAACAAUAUCAGUCCCGGGGCUGCACCCCCAGAGAGAGCAAAGAACGAGCAAGUGGACUCAUAUGUUCAAAAAUACUAUUAGCAGCCCUUUUUGCGGUGGCAAAGAAUUGGAAACUGAGGGAAAGCCUAUCAAUUGUUCUGUAGUGUACUGUGUGAAGUAAGGAAGGGGAUGGUUUCUGAAAAACCCGGCAAGACACAUAUAAACUGAUGCAAAGUGAAGUGAGCAAACCAGGAAGACAACUUGUAUGAUCACCAACAAUUUAGGAACACCUAAUUAUCUAAAGGACUCGAGGUGAUUCCUGCUGUUCCCCUCCUGGAAGAAAAAAAGGACUUACGUGAACGGAAGAGAAAAUAGGCGUGAUCGUAUGAAGCACCAGAAAGCGGGAAACAUGACCAGGGCCCAUAUUUGGCUCCGGCCCUGACCAGGUAAGCACACCUGGAUGGCUUUCCGCAGACUGUGGACAUCCCUCACUGACAGCGUUUGACCACACGCUGCUCUCUGCUGGCCGAUAGAAGUCACUAAGCCUCUCCUUUCCUGGGGAGAGCUAAAGCCUUUGUUGCUGAUUUGUUGCGUCCCUUAAGCUGUGCCUGAUCUCCCUAAAUCCACUUGGGGUUUUUUUUUUAAGUUUUUUUCUCAAUUACAUUUAUUUUAUUUUCCCAGUUUUUUCUUCCUCCCUCCCUCCCUCCCCUGUCCCCAAGGCAGCAGCAAGCAAUCCCAUGUAGGUUAAAUAUGUGCUAUCUUUUUGAUCACAUUUCCACGUUUAUCAUGUUGUACAAGAACAAUCAGAUCAAAAGAAAAAACAUAAUAAAGA